UAGGGAAUCUUCGGCAAUGGACGAAAGUCUGACCGAGCAACGCCGCGUGAGUGAAGUAAGGUUUUCGGAUACGUAAAACUCUGUUGGUAGAGAAGAACGUUGGUGAGAGUGGAAAGCUCAUCAAGUGACGGUAACUACCCAGAAAGGGACGGCUAACUACGUGCCAC
RNAcentral lists this ribosomal RNA (167 nucleotides) under uncultured bacterium. RNAcentral describes it as "partial 16S rRNA". It matches the Rfam family "Bacterial small subunit ribosomal RNA", at positions 355 to 511 of the family's 1533-position model. The record is from RNAcentral.